Magnolia sinica is the source of this 5839-nucleotide long non-coding RNA. RefSeq lists it as uncharacterized. The record is from RefSeq and is a predicted model, not a curated record. The transcript has 2 exons. Lineage: Eukaryota; Viridiplantae; Streptophyta; Magnoliopsida; Magnoliales; Magnoliaceae.
UAGGUUGGAAUGCAACCUUUGUAGUGAGGAGUUCACCUAGCUGUAGAGUAGGGUUGAUACCCUAUGGGGCCGGCUCACCAUGAUAUAUGUGUUUCAUCUAGGCCAUUCAUGCAUUUUGCCAGCUCAAGUGGAUGAACUAAAAAAUAAAGCAUAUCCAAAGCUCAGGUGGACCACACCACAGGAGACAGUAGGGAUAAUAACACCCACAGUUAAAACCCUCCUAAGGCUAAUGUUUAUUAGCCAUUCAACCUGUUUGUAUUGUCACAUGGAUCUGGACAGUGGGAAAACAAAAAUAUCAUCUUGAUCCCAAACUUUUGUGGCUCCCAAGAAGUUUUUCAUGGCAGGUGUUCAAUCACCACUCUUUUUUAUGGUGUGAUCCACUCGAGCUUUGGAUAUGCUUCAUUUUUGGGCUCAUGCCCUAAAAUGAUCCGCAAAAUUGAUGGACGGUGUAGAUAAAACAUAUACAUAAUGGUGGGUCCCAAAGAGCAUCCACACCAUGCUCCUCACUAUCACGGCACCGGGCCAGUCACAUCUCUUGCAGCAGCACAUCGCCUAAUUAAAUCUUGCCAUGUCCCAACACCACAACGGAGCAAUCCACGUCCCCAUUUUCCACUUAGGGUGGGUUUUGGAAUUUAUGUACACGAAGUGGGUCCCGCAUGCGGACUAGACCUGUGAUUUCUAUAAUCAUACAUUCACGCCCCCUUUCCUAGGGCUGUCAAUGGCUGGUCUCAUGCCACGCAAAAUCAAAGUUUAAAAUAGGGUGGGCCCAUCAGGCUCCAUCCGAACAGUUCAAAAUCUGGGCCCAAGCCAACCCACGCUCGGCCUGUUGAGAGCCCUACUUCCAACAUGGGAAUUAUUUGAUACUUAUAAGAGUAUGUUGCUGGGUAUUUAGGCACUCAGAAACUCCAUGUUUUAUAUAGAAACUCAUAUGAAAUUAGCUGCGGUAUGGAAUCUGCCUUUUUUAAGCGACUGUCCUCAGAUAAGAUUGUUUGAACAAUCCCAUGGAUGGUGGACACUUGUUUGUUGAAAUAGGACCAUUGGAUAAUUUUGAUUUUUGACCAUACAAUAAAUGUCUGCAAUCUAAGGGUAGGAUAAUUGACUUGUGGUCCUUGACACAUCUAAACAAGGAUCUAUAAAUUGAACUGUUUAAUUUAAAAUUUUGAAUUACUUAUAGGCUACAUGCGUAUCAUACAUCACACUCUACUGGAGUAUCAAACUUUUUCUCUUAAGGAACAGCUAAAGGGGGUAGUCGGGCAUUUGAAAGAACAAACUAAAUCCAAACCCACACACCAUCAAACUACCCAUGUCACCCACAGAUAGAGGGUCAAGUUGGCCGGGCUGUGCCAAGCUCUGUCCAAGCCUAGCCCGCAAUUUUCAGCAUAGGACUGAGUUUGGCCCAGCCUAUGACAGGCAAAACUAGCAUAGCCUGAGGUUUUUAUACUAGCCUUAGCCCAAGCCCAAGCUUGAGUGCUUGAGAGAGAGAGAGAGAGAGAGAGAGAGAGAGAUAUGGAUGGGGGUGUGGUUUAGAGCAUAGAAGAUGGAGUGUGGUAGGGCUGUGAAUAGGUCAAACAUGGGCUACACAAAAUUAGAAAAUUUUAAUAGGGUUGGCAACAGUUCAAAAUCCAAGUUGAAGUGAUGUAGGCCCAUGGCCCACUUAGGCCCACAACGAACUUAAGCCCACCUAGGCCUAUUAUAGAGCCCAACAAUGAUAUAGGCCCAUAGUCCACCGAAGGGGCUAACAUGUGUUAAUUUUUAAUUUUUAAUUUUUUAAAAAAUCUGUUUAUUUAUAGAUUUUGGAGUCUAAAUCAUGAUUUGCAAUUUACUAUUUUUGAAAAAUAUGAAGGUUGAUUUAAAAAUGAGAUUGAAGAUAGGACGGGUUAAUUUAGAGAUGUAGUUAAGAUUAUUUUCUAUAUGUGUUUUAUUAUUAUUAAGCUUUUAUCAUUCUAAAUGGAUUAGCUAGAUUCGAAGUCAACUACAAUUGAUUUGGAGUCAAUCUCUUAGUUGAAAAAAUUCUCAUUAGAAAUUCACACAAAUUCUAUUAAAAAAGUGGAUGGUGUGGGAGUUAGUCAUUCUAACAUUUCUUUUUUAAGUGUAAGUUUUUCUUAUGUAUUAUGAGAGAAGUUUGGUGUUAAUAUGUUCUCUCAUUUUCUACUCUAAAAUUCCUGUGGGUGCACUCUUGAGGAACAAUUAAAGGGGGCAGUCGGGCGUUCCGAAAAACAAACCAAAACCAAACCCACACACCAUUAAACUACCCGUGUCACCCAUGGAUAGAGUGUCAAGUUGGCCGAGCUGUGCCAAUCUCUGUCUAAACCUAGCCCACAAUUUUCAGCAAGCUCGAGUGCUUGAGAGAGAGAGAGAGAGAGAGAGAGAGAGAGAGAGAGAGAGAGAGGUGUGGGUUAGAGCUUGGAAGAUGGAGUAUGGAGGGCUGUGAAUAGGUCAAACAUAGGCUACACAAAAUUAGAAAAUUUUAAUAGGGUUGGCGACAGUUCAAAAUCCAAGUUGAAGUGAUGUAGGCCCAUGGCCCACUUAAGCCCACAACCAACCUAAGGCCACCUAGGCCUACUAUAGAGCCCAACAAUGACAUAGGCCCAUAGUCCACCGAAAGGGCUAACAUGUGUUAAUUUUAUUUUUUAUUUUUUUUUCUAUUUAUUUAUAGAUUUUGGAGUCUAAAUCAUGAUUUGCAAUUUACUAUUUUUGAAAGAUAUGAAGGUUGAUAUUAAAAUGAGAUUGAAGAUAGGAGGGAUUAAUUUAGAGAUGUAGUUAAGAUUAUUUUCUAUAUGUGUUUUGUUAUUAUUAAGCUUUUAUCAUUCUAAAUGGAUUAGCUAGAUUCGAAGUCAACUACAAUUGAUUUGGAGUAAAUCUCUUAGUUGAAAAAAUUCUCAUUAGAAAUUCACACAAAUUCUAUUAAAAAAGUGGAUGGUGCGGGAGUUAGUCAUUCUAACAUUUCUUUUUUAAGUGUAAGUUUUUCUUAUGUAUUAUGAGGGAAGUUUGGUAUUAAUAUGUUCUCUCAUUUUCUACUCUAAAAUUCCUGUGGGUGCACUCUUAAGGAACAACUAAAGGGGGUAGUCGGGCAUUCCGAAAAACAAACCAAAUCCAAACCCACACACCAUCAAACUACCCGUGUCACCCAUGGAUAGAGUGUCAAGUUGGCCGAGCUGUGUCAAUCUUUGUCCAAGCCUAGCACACAAUUUUUAGCAAGCUUGAGUGCUUGUGAGAGAGAGAGAGAGAGAGAGAGGUCAGUUAGAGCUUGGAAGAUGGAGUAUGGGGGGCUGUGAAUAGGUCAAACAUAGGCUACACAAAAUUAGAAAAAAUUUAAUAGGGUUGGCUCAUCAUGCCCGACCUGGACAGUUCAAAAUCCAAGUUGAAGUGAUGUGGGCCCAUGGCCCACUUAGGCCCACAACCAACUUAAGCCCACCUAGGCCUACUAUAGAGCCCAACAAUGACAUAAGCCUAUAGUCCACAGAAGGGGCCAAUAUUUUUUAUUUUUUUCCUGUUUAUUUAUAGAUUUUGGAGACUAUCAUGAUUUGCAAUUUACAAUUUAUGAAAAAUAUGGAGGUUGAUUUUAAAAUGGGAUUGAAGAUACAAGGGGUUAAUUUAGAGAUGUACUUAAGACUAUUUCUAUAUGUGUUUUAUUAUUAUAAAGCUUUUAUCAUUCUAAAUCAAGUAGCUAGAUUUGAAGUCUAACUACAAUUGAUUUGGAGUCAAUCUCUUAGUUGAAAAAAUUCUCAUUAGAAAUUCACAUAGAGUCUAUUAAAAAAAGGGAUGGUGCAAGAGUUAGUCAUCUUAACAUUUCUGUUUUAAGUGUAAGUUUUUUAUUAUGUAUUGUGAAGUUUGAUAUUAAUAUAGUUCUCUCACUCUCUACCCUAAAAUUCUUGUGGGUGUACUCUUGUCCCUUCUUUUUUUUUUUUUUUUCUUCUUUCUUUCUUUCUUUUUUAAAUUCGGGUGUCAAGAUUUCAUUGAUAUGAUAAGUGGGUUACACAAUUUUAGUACCAGAGAGGGUGAUUGUUGGGGUAAUUAUUAAUUCUACGUCAUCUUCUAAUGGUUUCAAAUGGGGUGACAUAGAAGAGUUUGUGCAGGCAAUCCAAUUUGAUUAACAUAAGCACAAAGUAGGUGGAUCAAUUCAUGCAUACAAUUGAUAAUCUUAUUAAUUAGGUGGGAAAGCUUUGGCGUUGAGGGAAUCUAAAGACUGAAGUUGGAGCAUAUGAACACAUAGAGUGAGGCCUUUACCAAGAUCCUAACCAAUAGCAGUGGCUAGGGCUUAUGAAGACAUUAAAUAGUUGAAUCCUUUAAUUGUUGGAACGUGACAUAGAAAUUUCCAAAACAAGAAAGAGAUCUAUGAAAUUAAAGGAAAAGUUGAUAUUUGAAGUGAUUGAUGUAUUGGCAUUGGUUAUAUAGUUCACUUUGAUAGACAUGCAAAUAGGUCUCAACAAUCAAAUUGAAUGAUAAGGAAGUUAGGCUGAUGUAUAAAAUCGAAGACCGGUGUGAAUAAUAAGCGGCUUUAAUUUUAAGACGAAGCCCCGCUCUUAGCUUGAUACUCCAACCCAUCUUGUGGACCCACUGAAAACCCUACCCACAGAUCCUCCAUGUGAGAUCUACCCUUAUAUGCCACAGGUUUUUUGAGCUGAAUAGAUGGAAGCUUUGUUGUGUGGUCAUUAUUUUCAAAUGUGGUGCAACCAUGCAUACUUUCGCAAUAUCCAAGCCACUCAUCACAUGGGACCACUACUUGGAUGAUUCCUCAGUCAUUUUGCCCAAUCGGUUGGUCAUACAUGUACAAAAUAUAUAUAGCAUUAAGUGGACUCAGCCAACACUCAAAUUGAAAAGUAUGUGCGGCCCAUCUGAUGAUGGAGCCAGCUUCAUUUAUGAGAGGAUCCAUUUAAUUGGUAAGAUACACCUGAUGAACGGCUCCCAACUUUCAAAAGUGUCCCAUAUUACGUGUGGAUGGAGAGUGUCAUAAAUGUGAAUAUAUGUGUGUUUGUGUAUAUAUCUUAUAUAAAUAAGGUCAAAAUAAUAAUAAUAAAUUUCAAUCAUGUUGAUGUUUGAUUUCUCCCUUCAUCUUGGCUAUACAUGUAUUAUGAAGUUGGAUGGAUGUUGUAUGCUGAAGGUAUAUUACAUUCCUCUUUCUUUCUUUUUUUCUUUUUUUCUUUUUUUCUUUUUUUCUUUUUUAAGGUAUAUUAUAUUGGGUAAUUCUACAGAUUAUCAUUGAUUUUUGGAAGUAAAAACGAUUUUCUCCUUCUUUUUGGUGCUAUGGUUUGAAAAACCCUCAUUCUCUAUCUCCCUCAAAACUACAUAGAUCGAGAAGCAAAACCCUAACCCUAAUCCUAACUCUCAUUCUCUAUCUUCCUCAAAACUACAUAAAUUGAGAUGCAAAACCCUAACCCUAACUCUCUAUCUCUAUCUCCCUCAAACCUACAUAACUCGUUGCACCCGAUUUCUCUUUUUCUCUCUCUCUCGUGGUUGGCGUGAUCUCUGUCUGCCUAUUCCGAUGGGUUUUUAUAGAACUCUCUCUCUCUCUCUCUCUCUCUCUCUCUCUCUCUCUCUCGUUACAGGAGGAAUUAGCGUCGGUUCUUACGCUGGAAGGACGUUCCAGCAGAGUGCUUCUGACGCCGUGAAAUUCGGUUUGUGGGUCGGAUCUUUUGUUGAAGUCUGGCGAUCAUACAUUGAUCAGGUGGGCCUCACAAUAGUCAACUUUGAUUUCAAACCGCUUUUUAUCCAAGAACUUGCAGUGGGUUUUCUUGAUUAAAGAAGAUGGAUGGCGUUAAUGGUAAUUCUUCAUACAGCAUAGAUUUCGACAUUCAGCUCCUUCAUAACAGUUGAAAUAAUGAAGACAAAAUAAUAAUAA